This 228-nucleotide ribosomal RNA is filed under the name uncultured bacterium. Its description in RNAcentral is "partial 16S ribosomal RNA". It matches the Rfam family "Bacterial small subunit ribosomal RNA", at positions 118 to 347 of the family's 1533-position model. The record is from RNAcentral.
UGGGCAACCUGCCCUCAGCUCUGGGAUAACUCCGGGAAACCGGGGCUAAUACCGGAUACGACUUGGGUCGACAUCGACCUGGGUGGAAAGAAUCUCGGCUGAGGAUGGGCCCGCGGCCUAUCAUGCUUGAUGGUGAGGUAACGGCCCACCAUGGCGACGACGGGUAGCCGGCCUGAGAGGGUGACCGGCCACACUGGGACUGAGACACGGCCCAGACUCCUACGGGAG